Molecule: ribosomal RNA, 460 nt
Filed under: uncultured bacterium
Lineage: Bacteria
Description: partial 16S ribosomal RNA
Rfam family: Bacterial small subunit ribosomal RNA
Source: RNAcentral
CCUACGGGAGGCAGCAGUGAGGAAUAUUGGUCAAUGGACGAGAGUCUGAACCAGCCAAGUAGCGUGAAGGAUGACUGCCCUAUGGGUUGUAAACUUCUUUUAUAUGGGAAUAAAACGUUCCACGUGUGGGAUUUUGUAUGUACCAUAUGAAUAAGGAUCGGCUAACUCCGUGCCAGCAGCCGCGGUAAUACGGAGGAUCCGAGCGUUAUCCGGAUUUAUUGGGUUUAAAGGGAGCGUAGGUGGAUUGUUAAGUCAGUUGUGAAAGUUUGCGGCUCAACCGUAAAAUUGCAGUUGAAACUGGCAGUCUUGAGUACAGUAGAAGUAGGCGGAAUUCGUGGUGUAGCGGUGAAAUGCUUAGAUAUCACGAAGAACUCCGAUUGCGAAGGCAGUUCACUGGACUGCAACUGACACUGAGGCUCGAAAGUGUGGGUAUCAAACAGGAUUAGAUACCCGAGUAGUC